Pelobates cultripes (western spadefoot toad) is the source of this 205-nucleotide non-coding RNA. NCBI's taxonomy places the organism in Eukaryota, Metazoa, Chordata, Amphibia, Anura, Pelobatidae. The record is from the annotation of a GenBank genome assembly.
GUUUUAACCCUGCAGCUGAAAACAUAGCAGUUUCAGAGAAACUGCUAUGUUUCACUGAGGGUUAAUCCAGCCUCUAGUGGCUGUCUCACUGACAGCCGCUAGAGGAGCACACUGAACGUCCAUAGGAAGGCAUUGAGUAAUGCUUUCCUAUGGGCGGUUUGAAUGCGUGCGCGGUCGCAUUCGGAGCUGAGAGGCUGAGGGAUCC